RNAcentral lists this ribosomal RNA (460 nucleotides) under uncultured bacterium. RNAcentral describes it as "partial 16S ribosomal RNA". It matches the Rfam family "Bacterial small subunit ribosomal RNA", at positions 338 to 795 of the family's 1533-position model. The record is from RNAcentral.
CCUACGGGAGACUGCAGUGAGGAAUAUUGGUCAAUGGACGAGAGUCUGAACCAGCCAAGUAGCGUGAAGGAUGACUGCCCUAUGGGUUGUAAACUUCUUUUAUAUGGGAAUAAAAUGUUCCACGUGUGGGAUUUUGUAUGUACCAUAUGAAUAAGGAUCGGCUAACUCCGUGCCAGCAGCCGCGGUAAUACGGAGGAUCCGAGCGUUAUCCGGAUUUAUUGGGUUUAAAGGGAGCGUAGGUGGAUUGUUAAGUCAGUUGUGAAAGUUUGCGGCUCAACCGUAAAAUUGCAGUUGAAACUGGCAGUCUUGAGUACAGUAGAGGUGGGCGGAAUUCGUGGUGUAGCGGUGAAAUGCUUAGAUAUCACGAAGAACCCCGAUUGCGAAGGCAGUUCACUGGACUGCAACUGACACUGAGGCUCGAAAGUGUGGGUAUCAAACAGGAUUAGAUACCCGAGUAGUC